AAAAGCAGCGUCAGGCUAGCGAAAACAGGCACACCAGGAUAACAAGUUCUAUGCAGGAACAAACGGCUUGAAACGUAGACUGACUGAGCAGAGAUUACGCAGCGUGGAAGUGGCAGGGCUGAGUAUUUGUAGAGAUCUAUCUUGAUUUUGGAACAGGUUGCAGCUGGUCUGCCUCAGCACACCUGAGGUAGAGGGAGUUUAGAACUGUCGAGGUAGAGGGAGUUUAGAACUGUCGAGGUAGAGGGACUUUAGAACUGUCGAGGUAGAGGGAGUUUAGAACUGUCGAGGUAGAGGGACUUUAGAACUGUCGAGGUAGAGGGAGUUUAGAACUGUCGAGGUAGAGGGAGUUUGUAACUGUCGAGGUAGAGGGAGUUUGGAACUGUCGAGGUAGAGGGAG
Molecule: long non-coding RNA, 397 nt
Organism: Oncorhynchus tshawytscha (Chinook salmon)
Lineage: Eukaryota; Metazoa; Chordata; Actinopteri; Salmoniformes; Salmonidae
Source: Ensembl